Molecule: ribosomal RNA, 777 nt
Filed under: uncultured Neocallimastigales
Lineage: Eukaryota; Fungi; Neocallimastigomycota; Neocallimastigomycetes; Neocallimastigales
Description: partial large subunit ribosomal RNA
Rfam family: Eukaryotic large subunit ribosomal RNA
Source: RNAcentral
UAUCUCUGUAGAGUCUGCAUAUCAAUAAGCGGAGGAAAAGAAACUAACUAGGAUUCCCUCAGUAACGGCGAGUGAAGCGGGAAGAGCUCAAAUUUGAAAUCUUCAAGGUUCUACCUUGACGAAUUGUAGUUUAAAGAAGUGUUUUCUGUUGGAGUUUUGGUAAAAGUUCUUUGGAAUAGGACAUCAUAGAGGGUGAGAAUCCCGUAUUUGACCAUUACUUCCAGCGUUGUGAUACACUUUCAAAGAGUCGGAUUGUUUGGGAAUGCAGUCCAAAAUGGGUGGUAAAUUUCAUCUAAAGCUAAAUACUGGCGAGAGACCGAUAGCGAACAAGUACCGUGAGGGAAAGAUGAAAAGAACUUUGAAAAGAGAGUUAAACAGUACGUGAAAUUGUCAAAAGGGAAGCGUUUGACACCAGUGUUGUUUUCUCGAAAAUCAAUUAAAAAAGGCAGGAUUUUGUGUUGUAUUGACUUUAUCAGCUUUCUGCACUCUUUUCUUGUCUUUUUUAAUGCACUUUUCGUUUAACAAGUCAACAUCAAUUUCUUUUGUUGUAAAAGGGUCAUUGGAAGGUGGCUUUCUUUUCGGAGAAAGUGUUUAUAGCCUUUGGCCUCUGCAAUCGGGAGAGAUUGAGGUCUGCAGCGUAGAUCCUUCGGGGCUAGAUACAUUAGAUGCUAAGUUAUAGCUUUUUAUAGACAACUUGUUGACUAUGAUUAAGUCAUGUAGCUUACUCGUUAUGCCUAUUUUACCUACGCUUAGGAUGUUGACGAUCAGCUGAGCGCG